Molecule: ribosomal RNA, 252 nt
Filed under: uncultured bacterium
Lineage: Bacteria
Description: partial 16S ribosomal RNA
Rfam family: Bacterial small subunit ribosomal RNA
Source: RNAcentral
UACGGAGGGAGCUAGCGUUGUUCGGAAUUACUGGGCGUAAAGCGCACGUAGGCGGCUUUGUAAGUUAGAGGUGAAAGCCCGGGGCUCAACCCCGGAAUUGCCUUUAAGACUGCAUCGCUUGAAUCCGGGAGAGGUGAGUGGAAUUCCGAGUGUAGAGGUGAAAUUCGUAGAUAUUCGGAAGAACACCAGUGGCGAAGGCGCUCACUGGACCGGUAUUGACGCUGAGGUGCGAAAGCGUGGGGAGCAAACAGG